Long non-coding RNA from Ctenopharyngodon idella (grass carp), 1023 nucleotides. RefSeq lists it as uncharacterized. The transcript has 2 exons. Lineage: Eukaryota; Metazoa; Chordata; Actinopteri; Cypriniformes; Xenocyprididae. The record is from RefSeq and is a predicted model, not a curated record.
AAAGACAGCCUGCAAUCACUUUUACUUUUAGACUGUACACCUCCCGACCUCAACAACGCAGACAAUGAGCAAGGAAUGGGUAGCAUGCUUGAAAAAACAAGUGACAGAAAGUCCUUUUUAUUCAAAUGCAAUUAUUGGCUUUUUAAUGGUGGGACUUGAGAAACUCAUGGAGAUGGAUUUUGCAUGUCCUUGUAAUCCAGAGAUGAAUCGUCUGUUUUCUGCAGCGUAUUUUGUGAUUCCUGCUCUAUUUUCAAGCGCACUCAUGUUUUAUAUUCAAAGCCCACAAUGCAAAACAAAGCGUCUGAUCUCUACUGUGACCUGCAUCAUUCCAGCUUUGGUUUGGAUCAUGCUGCUAUUCUUUGAUGGACAAUACUAUGCCUGUGCAAGAACCUCAUGGGAAGGACUGACGGUUCACACCGAUAUAUCCGCUUCAACAACGUGGUGUCGGCCUUUAAACAAUCCUGACAAUAUCACUGAAAAGCAAAUUACAUUUUUUGGUUUUCGAAAUUAUUCUCAGAUAAUAGCACUGGCCCUGCUGGGUCUGAUUUCUACAGUUCUGUUUGGCUUUGGAUGUAAGACGUGCCGCGAGCAAGCAGGAACCAAAGAACCUGAAGCUGAACAAGUGGAAAUGGGAGUUGGUGCUCAAUGUUCAGCACCCCCUCCUGAACAAUCUUCAUUAAUUGAGGGCGAAAGCAGAAGCCGUGCAUCUGAACGGCUCUAAAUGAAGAAGCUUUUUUUUCUUAUUCACAUCUUGCAAAAAAAAAAAAUCAUUUAAUGUUCACAAAAUUUAAAAAAAGAAAAGGAAAUAAAUAAAAAAUGUUUUGCAGCACAUACUCAUCCAACUGUUCCACAAAGUGCAUUUGUUUCUCAGAAGUCUUGACAUGAUGGUGAGAAACCACAUCCUGUCAUUCAGUGCACUGCCUUAUGUAACAUGGUACAAUAUGCUGCUUACAUUCACUGAUUGUUAUCUUUCAUGCUAUCUUGUAAGUUUGUUAAAUAAAAUAAAAUACACUUUGCAACUGA